CCCAGGUCAGGCGGGAUCACCCGC
This 24-nucleotide ribosomal RNA is filed under the name Fagonia paulayana. Its description in RNAcentral is "partial 28S ribosomal RNA". The record is from RNAcentral. Lineage: Eukaryota; Viridiplantae; Streptophyta; Magnoliopsida; Zygophyllales; Zygophyllaceae.